Molecule: small RNA, 92 nt
Filed under: Sinorhizobium meliloti 2011
Lineage: Bacteria; Pseudomonadati; Pseudomonadota; Alphaproteobacteria; Hyphomicrobiales; Rhizobiaceae
Description: putative ncRNA
Source: RNAcentral
AACAGGAAGGCAUCGUUGUAGGCGAGGAUGUUGGCCUCGCGGGUGAUCGUCUGUCCGAGCAGGGCCACGCCCUCCCCGUUCAGCAACGCCCU